RNAcentral lists this ribosomal RNA (250 nucleotides) under uncultured Bacteroidota bacterium. RNAcentral's name for it is "uncultured Bacteroidetes bacterium partial 16S ribosomal RNA". It matches the Rfam family "Bacterial small subunit ribosomal RNA", at positions 90 to 339 of the family's 1533-position model. Lineage: Bacteria; Pseudomonadati; Bacteroidota. The record is from RNAcentral.
GGCGACCGGCGAAAGGGUGCGUAACGCGUGAACAACUUGCCUGUCACAGGGGGAUAACCGUCGGAAACGGCGCCUAAUACCCCGUAACAUAUAUGGGGGCAUCCUUAUAUAUUGAAAGCAGCGAUGCGGUGACAGAUAGGUUCGCGAGACAUUAGCUAGUCGGCGGGGCAACGGCCCACCGAGGCGACGAUGUCUAGGGGUUCUGAGAGGAAGGCCCCCCACACUGGGACUGAGACACGGCCCAGACUCC